CGCGAAUCGCCCUUGGGGUGCACCAGGCGCGAAAACUUUACAAUGCGGGAAACCGUGAUAAGGGGACACCGAGUGCCAGCAUCAUAUGCUGGCUGUCCGGGUGUGUAAAAUACACCCGUUAGCAAGGGCCGGGCAAGACCGGUGCCAGCCGCCGCGGUAACACCGGCGGCCCGAGUGGUGAUCGUGAUUAUUGGGUCUAAAGGGUCCGUAGCCGGUUUGGUCAGUCCUCCGGGAAAUCUGACGGCUCAACCGUUAGGCUUUCGGGGGAUACUGCCAGGCUUGGAACCGGGAGAGGUAAGAGGUACUACAGGGGUAGGAGUGAAAUCUUGUAAUCCCUGUGAGACCACCUGUGGCGAAGGCGUCUUACCAGAACGGGUUCGACGGUGAGGGACGAAAGCUGGGGGCACGAACCGGAUUAGAUACCCGGGUAGUCCCAGCCGUAAACGAUGCUCGCUAGGUGUCAGGCAUGGCGCGACCGUGUCUGGUGCCGCAGGGAAGCCGUGAAGCGAGCCACCUGGGAAGUACGGCCGCAAGGCUGAAACUUAAAGGAAUUGGCGGGGGAGCAC
RNAcentral lists this ribosomal RNA (566 nucleotides) under uncultured archaeon. RNAcentral describes it as "bacterial SSU rRNA". It matches the Rfam family "Archaeal small subunit ribosomal RNA", at positions 312 to 879 of the family's 1478-position model. The record is from RNAcentral.